This 459-nucleotide ribosomal RNA is filed under the name uncultured bacterium. Its description in RNAcentral is "bacterial SSU rRNA". It matches the Rfam family "Bacterial small subunit ribosomal RNA", at positions 29 to 506 of the family's 1533-position model. The record is from RNAcentral.
ACGAACGCUGGCGGCGUGCUUAACACAUGCAAGUCGAACGGUGAACCCUUCGGGGGGAUCAGUGGCGAACGGGUGAGUAACACGUGAGCAACCUGCCCUUGGCUCUGGGACAACCACUGGAAACGGUGGCUAAUACCGGAUACGACCCAUGCAGGCAUCUGUUGUGGGUGGAAAGAUUUUUCGGCCAGGGAUGGGCUCGCGGCCUAUCAGCUUGUUGGUGGGGUGAUGGCCUACCAAGGCGACGACGGGUAGCCGGCCUGAGAGGGCGACCGGCCACACUGGGACUGAGACACGGCCCAGACUCCUACGGGAGGCAGCAGUGGGGAAUAUUGCACAAUGGGCGAAAGCCUGAUGCAGCGACGCCGCGUGAGGGAUGACGGCCUUCGGGUUGUAAACCUCUUUCAGCAGGGAAGAAGCGAAAGUGACGGUACCUGCAGAAGAAGCACCGGCUAACUACGU